GACGAACGCUGGCGGCGUGCUUAACACAUGCAAGUCGUACGGUAAGGCCCUUUCGGGGGUACACGAGUGGCGAACGGGUGCGUAACACGUGAGUAACCUGCCCACAACUUUGGGAUAAGGCUAGGAAACUGGUGCUAAUACUGGAUAUGUGCUCCUGCUGCAUGGGGGGGGUUGGAAAGCUCCGGCGGGUGUGGAUGGACUCGCGGCCUAUCAGCUUGUUGGUGGGGUAAUGGCCUACCAAGGCGGCUACGGGCAGCCGGCCUGAGAGGGUGACCGGCCACAUUGGGACCGAGAGACGGCCCAGACUCCUACGGGACGCAGCAGUGGGGAAUAUUGCACAAUGGGCGCAAGCCUGAUGCAGAAACGCCGCGUGCGGGAUGACGGCCUUCGGGUUGUAAACCGCUUUCAGCAGGGACGAAGCUUUUUGUGACGGUACCUGCAGAAGAAGCACCGGCUAACUACGUG
This 465-nucleotide ribosomal RNA is filed under the name uncultured bacterium. RNAcentral describes it as "partial 16S ribosomal RNA". It matches the Rfam family "Bacterial small subunit ribosomal RNA", at positions 28 to 507 of the family's 1533-position model. The record is from RNAcentral.